UACGGGGGGGGCAAGCGUUGUUCGGAAUUACUGGGCGUAAAGGGCUCGUAGGCGGCCAACUAAGUCAGACGUGAAAUCCCCAGGCUCAACCUGGGAACUGCGUCUGAUACUGGAUGGCUUGAAUCCGGGAGAGGGAUGCAGAAUUCCAGGUGUAGCGGUGAAAUGCGUAGAUAUCUGGGGGAAUACCGGUGGCGAAGGCGGCAUCCUGGACCGGCAUUGACGCUGAGGAGCGAAAGCCAGGGGAGCAAACGGG
This 253-nucleotide ribosomal RNA is filed under the name uncultured bacterium. RNAcentral describes it as "partial 16S ribosomal RNA". It matches the Rfam family "Bacterial small subunit ribosomal RNA", at positions 524 to 776 of the family's 1533-position model. The record is from RNAcentral.